RNAcentral lists this ribosomal RNA (508 nucleotides) under uncultured bacterium. RNAcentral's name for it is "partial 16S ribosomal RNA". It matches the Rfam family "Bacterial small subunit ribosomal RNA", at positions 30 to 523 of the family's 1533-position model. The record is from RNAcentral.
AUUGAACGCUGGCGGCAUGCCUUACACAUGCAAGUCGAACGGCAGCGGGGGAGAAGCUUGCUUUUCCUGCCGGCGAGUGGCGAACGGGUGAGUAAUACGUCGGAACGUGCCCUGUAGUGGGGGAUAACUAGUCGAAAGAUUAGCUAAUACCGCAUACGACCUGAGGGUGAAAGGGGGGGACCGCAAGGCCUCAUGCUAUAGGAGCGGCCGAUGUCUGAUUAGCUAGUUGGUGGGGUAAAGGCCUACCAAGGCGACGAUCAGUAGCUGGUCUGAGAGGACGAUCAGCCACACUGGGACUGAGACACGGCCCAGACUCCUACGGGAGGCAGCAGUGGGGAAUUUUGGACAAUGGGCGAAAGCCUGAUCCAGCAAUGCCGCGUGUGUGAAGAAGGCCUUCGGGUUGUAAAGCACUUUUGUCCGGAAAGAAAUGGCUCUGGUUAAUACCUGGGGUCGAUGACGGUACCGGAAGAAUAAGGACCGGCUAACUACGUGCCAGCCGCCGCCGUAA